RNAcentral lists this non-coding RNA (90 nucleotides) under Thiocystis violascens DSM 198. RNAcentral describes it as "sRNA-Xcc1". It matches the Rfam family "sRNA-Xcc1". The record is from Rfam by way of RNAcentral. Lineage: Bacteria; Pseudomonadati; Pseudomonadota; Gammaproteobacteria; Chromatiales; Chromatiaceae.
GGCCGGGAGUGCGCAUCGGAUACAACACCCGCAAGGGGAAACAUGCGCACGGUCUCACAGAGCCGUUCUGACCCUCCCGGCCGCCAGAGC